RNAcentral lists this ribosomal RNA (1033 nucleotides) under Salmonella enterica subsp. enterica serovar Derby. Its description in RNAcentral is "bacterial LSU rRNA". It matches the Rfam family "Bacterial large subunit ribosomal RNA", at positions 140 to 1211 of the family's 2925-position model. The record is from RNAcentral. Lineage: Bacteria; Pseudomonadati; Pseudomonadota; Gammaproteobacteria; Enterobacterales; Enterobacteriaceae.
UCGUCACACUAUCAUUAACUGAAUCCAUAGGUUAAUGAGGCGAACCGGGGGAACUGAAACAUCUAAGUACCCCGAGGAAAAGAAAUCAACCGAGAUUCCCCCAGUAGCGGCGAGCGAACGGGGAGGAGCCCAGAGCCUGAAUCAGCAUGUGUGUUAGUGGAAGCGUCUGGAAAGGCGCGCGAUACAGGGUGACAGCCCCGUACACAAAAGCGCAUGUGCUGUGAGCUCGAUGAGUAGGGCGGGACACGUGGUAUCCUGUCUGAAUAUGGGGGGACCAUCCUCCAAGGCUAAAUACUCCUGACUGACCGAUAGUGAACCAGUACCGUGAGGGAAAGGCGAAAAGAACCCCGGCGAGGGGAGUGAAAAAGAACCUGAAACCGUGUACGUACAAGCAGUGGGAGCACAGGUUUACCUGUGUGACUGCGUACCUUUUGUAUAAUGGGUCAGCGACUUAUAUUCUGUAGCAAGGUUAACCGUAUAGGGGAGCCGCAGGGAAACCGAGUCUUAAUUGGGCGUUAAGUUGCAGGGUAUAGACCCGAAACCCGGUGAUCUAGCCAUGGGCAGGUUGAAGGUUGGGUAACACUAACUGGAGGACCGAACCGACUAAUGUUGAAAAAUUAGCGGAUGACCUGUGGCUGGGGGUGAAAGGCCAAUCAAACCGGGAGAUAGCUGGUUCUCCCCGAAAGCUAUUUAGGUAGCGCCUCGUGAAUUCAUCUCCGGGGGUAGAGCACUGUUUCGGCUAGGGGGCCAUCCCGGCUUACCAACCCGAUGCAAACUGCGAAUACCGGAGAAUGUUAUCACGGGAGACACACGGCGGGUGCUAACGUCCGUCGUGAAGAGGGAAACAACCCAGACCGCCAGCUAAGGUCCCAAAGUCAUGGUUAAGUGGGAAACGAUGUGGGAAGGCCCAGACAGCCAGGAUGUUGGCUUAGAAGCAGCCAUCAUUUAAAGAAAGCGUAAUAGCUCACUGGUCGAGUCGGCCUGCGCGGAAGAUGUAACGGGGCUAAACCAUGCACCGAAGCUGCGGCAGCGA